GAAAUUUCGAUUAAACGCGGAAGAACCCUUACCCAGGUCUUGACAUCUUUCUGCUAACCUAAGAGAUUAGGCGUUCCCUUUGGGGACGGAAUGACAGGUGGUGCAUGGUUGUCGUCAGCUCGUGUCGUGAGAUGUUGGGUUAAGUCCCGCAACGAGCGCAACCCUUAUUGUCAGUUGCCAGCAUUUAGUUGGGCACUCUGGCGAGACUGCCGGUGACAAACCGGAGGAAGGUGGGGAUGACGUCAAAUCAUCAUGCCCCUUAUGACCUGGGCUACACACGUGCUACAAUGGACGGUACAACGAGUCGCGAAACCGCGAGGUCAAGCUAAUCUCUUAAAGCCGUUCUCAGUUCGGAUUGUAGGCUGCAACUCGCCUACAUGAAGUUGGAAUCGCUAGUAAUCGUGGAUCAGCA
RNAcentral lists this ribosomal RNA (412 nucleotides) under uncultured bacterium. Its description in RNAcentral is "bacterial SSU rRNA". It matches the Rfam family "Bacterial small subunit ribosomal RNA", at positions 946 to 1354 of the family's 1533-position model. The record is from RNAcentral.